UGGGGAAUUUUGCGCAAUGGACGAAAGUCUGACGCAGCGACGCCGCGUGGGGGAUGAAGGUCUUCGUGAUUGUAAACCCCUGUCAGGAAGGAUUAAAUGUACGGGCGUUAACACCGCCUGUACUUGACUUAACUUCCAGAGGAAGCCCCGGCUAACUACGUGCCAGCAGCCGCGGUAAUACGUAGGGGGCAAGCGUUACUCGGAUUUACUGGGCGUAAAGAGAGUUAAGGCGGCUGAGUAAGUCGGAGGUGAAAUCCCUCGGCCUAACCGAGGAACUGCCUUCGAUACUGCUUGGCUUGAGGACAGGAGAGGAAAGUGGAAUUCCCGGUGUAGCGGUGGAAUGCGUAGAUAUCGGGAGGAACACCAGAGGCGAAGGCGGCUUUCUGGACUGCUCCUGACGCUGAUACUCGAAAGCUAGGGGAGCAAACAGG
This 431-nucleotide ribosomal RNA is filed under the name uncultured bacterium. Its description in RNAcentral is "bacterial SSU rRNA". It matches the Rfam family "Bacterial small subunit ribosomal RNA", at positions 355 to 776 of the family's 1533-position model. The record is from RNAcentral.